RNAcentral lists this ribosomal RNA (370 nucleotides) under uncultured eukaryote. RNAcentral's name for it is "partial 18S ribosomal RNA". It matches the Rfam family "Eukaryotic small subunit ribosomal RNA", at positions 592 to 976 of the family's 1831-position model. The record is from RNAcentral.
CAAUAGCGUAUAUUAAAGUUGUUGCAGUUAAAAAGCCCGUAGUUGGAUUUCUGGUCGGAAGCUCCUGUCCUCUGAUGAGCGUACAAGUGCGUCCUACCAUCCUUCUGUUAACCUUUAAGGCUUUCGCGGCUUUCUAGGGGCUCAGAUAUUUUACCUUGAGAAAAUUAGAGUGUUUCAGGCAGGCUAGCGCCGGAAUACAUUAGCAUGGAAUAAUGGAAUAGGACUUUUGCCUCUUCUGUUGGUCAUGAGGCUCGAGUAAUGAUUAAUAGGGAUAGUUGGGGGCAUUAGUACUUAACUGUCAGAGGUGAAAUUCUCGGAUUUGUUAAAGACUAACCUAUGCGAAAGCAUUUGCCAAGGAUGUUUUCAUUAA